Molecule: ribosomal RNA, 253 nt
Filed under: uncultured bacterium
Lineage: Bacteria
Description: partial 16S ribosomal RNA
Rfam family: Bacterial small subunit ribosomal RNA
Source: RNAcentral
UACGUAGGGGGCUAGCGUUGUCCGGAAUCAUUGGGCGUAAAGCGCGCGUAGGCGGCCAGAUAAGUCCGGUGUGAAAGUCAAAGGCUCAACCUUUGAAUGCCGCUGGAAACUGUCUGGCUUGAGUCCGGAAGGGGCGAGUGGAAUUCCUGGUGUAGCGGCGAAAUGCGCAGAUAUCAGGAGGAACACCAAUGGCGAAGGCAGCUCGCUGGAACGGUACUGACGCUGAGGCGCGAAAGCGUGGGGAGCAAACGGG